CUUGUCUUCUCUUGAAAGCCAGGUCUGCCUUCGGUGGCCUUUCUAAAUAGUAAGGCUCACUGAGUCUGUACAUAGUCAAAGAUUUUAAUUUUAGAUCAGUCACAGUGGUCAGGUAUUCUGCCACUGUGUCCUCUCUGUUUAGGGUCAGUCACAGUGGUCAGGUAUUCUGUCACCGUGUCCUCUCUGUUUAGGGUCAGUCACAGUGGUCAGGUAUUCUGCCACUGUGUCCUCUCUGUUUAGGGCCAAAUAGCAUUCUAGUUUGCUCUGUUGUUUUGUUAAUUCUUUCCAGUGUGUCCACCAUUCUUUUGUUGUUUCCUCAUAAUGUGGUUGGGUCUAAUUGUGUUGCUGUCCUGGGGCUCUGUGGGGUCUGUUUGUGUUUGUGAACAGAGCCCAAGGACCAGCCGUUCUCUAG
Oncorhynchus tshawytscha (Chinook salmon) is the source of this 412-nucleotide long non-coding RNA. The record is from Ensembl. Lineage: Eukaryota; Metazoa; Chordata; Actinopteri; Salmoniformes; Salmonidae.